This 617-nucleotide ribosomal RNA is filed under the name uncultured bacterium. RNAcentral describes it as "bacterial SSU rRNA". It matches the Rfam family "Bacterial small subunit ribosomal RNA", at positions 829 to 1439 of the family's 1533-position model. The record is from RNAcentral.
CCUUUUCCGGNUCUUCCGCGCCGUAGCUAACGCAUUAAGUGCCCCGCCUGGGGAGUACGGCCGCAAGGCUAAAACUCAAAGGAAUUGACGGGGGCCCGCACAAGCGGCGGAGCAUGCGGAUUAAUUCGAUGCAACGCGAAGAACCUUACCAAGGCUUGACAUGUGCCGGUCGGCUCCGGAGACGGGGCUUCCUCCUUGUGGGGCCGGUUCACAGGUGGUGCAUGGUUGUCGUCAGCUCGUGUCGUGAGAUGUUGGGUUAAGUCCCGCAACGAGCGCAACCCUUGUCCCGUGUUGCCAGCACGUUGUGGUGGGGACUCGCGGGAGACUGCCGGGGUCAACUCGGAGGAAGGUGGGGAUGACGUCAAAUCAUCAUGCCCCUUAUGUCUUGGGCUUCACGCAUGCUACAAUGGCCGGUACAGAGGGCUGCGAUACCGUGAGGUGGAGCGAAUCCCUUAAAGCCGGUCUCAGUUCGGAUCGGUGUCUGCAACUCGACACCGUGAAGUUGGAGUCGCUAGUAAUCGCAGAUCAGCAACGCUGCGGUGAAUACGUUCUCGGGCCUUGUACACACCGCCCGUCACGUCAUGAAAGUCGGCAACNCCCGAAGCCCGUGGCCCUAC